RNAcentral lists this ribosomal RNA (850 nucleotides) under Achaearanea trapezoidalis. RNAcentral describes it as "partial 16S ribosomal RNA". The stretch from base 100 to 404 matches the Rfam family "Bacterial large subunit ribosomal RNA", at positions 2072 to 2648 of the family's 2925-position model. Lineage: Eukaryota; Metazoa; Arthropoda; Arachnida; Araneae; Theridiidae. The record is from RNAcentral.
GCUUUUUAAUUAAAAGCUAGAAUGAAAGGUUUAAUAUUUUAAUUUUAUUAUUAUUAUUAUAUAUUAAAUUUAUACUAAAUAUAAAAAUAUAUUUAUAUAAUAAAAAGACGAUAAGACCCUAUUGAACUUUACUUAAAAGUUAAGCUGGGGCAGCUAAUUAAUAAAUAUUUUAAUAUUAUUACUAUCAUAAGAUAUCCAAUAUAAUUGAAUAUAUCAAGUUACCAUAGGGAUAACAGCGUAAUAUUAAUUUAAAGUUCAUAUUAAAAUUAAUGUUUGCGACCUCGAUGUUGAAUUAUUAAUCUUUAUAAACGCAAUAGUUAUAAAAGUAGGUCUGUUCGACCUUUAAUAUUUUACAUGAUUUGAGUUCAAACCGGUAUAAGCCAGGUUGGUUUCUAUCUUUUUAUAUUAUUUUCUAGUACGAAAGGACAAAAAAAAAUAUUAUUAAUAAUAUAUUAGCAAAUAAAUGCAUUAGAAUUAGAAUCUAAAUAAUCUAUUAUAUUAAUUUAAUUAAUUCUAUUAUUCCUAUAAUUUGUUUAUUAGUAAGAGUAGCAUUUUAUACUAUUCUAGAACGAAAGAUUUUAGGUUAUAUUCAAAUUCGAAAAGGACCAAAUAAAGUAGGAUUUAUAGGAAUUUUACAACCAUUUAGAGAUGCUAUUAAACUAUUUAAUAAAAAUCUAUUAUCAUCUGAAUUAAUAAAUUUUUCUUUUUCAUAUAUUACACCAGCUAUAUCAUUAAUUUUAGCUUUAUUAAUUAUAUCUUUUAUUCCUAUAUAUAAAUAUUCUCCCUUUGAUAAUAAACAUAAUAUUAUAUUAUUUUUUAUCAUUUCUAGACUAUCUGUUUAUUCAAUUUU